Candidatus Hamiltonella defensa 5AT (Acyrthosiphon pisum) is the source of this 125-nucleotide non-coding RNA. NCBI's taxonomy places the organism in Bacteria, Pseudomonadati, Pseudomonadota, Gammaproteobacteria, Enterobacterales, Enterobacteriaceae. The record is from Rfam.
AACCCCCUGUUCCUGCGACUAACUUUGGCGGGUUAUAACAGGAUUGAGGGGGCCAACAUCUGGCUUGGUGCCAGUAAGGAUUAUAGCAAGUGCUCAAUCUCAAUCAAGACUUUUUUAACUCCGCC